GACGAACGCUGGCGGCGUGCUUAACACAUGCAAGUCGAACGAAGUGGCGAACGGGUGAGUAACGCGUAAUCAACCUGCCCUUCCGAGGGGGACAACAGUUGGAAACGACUGCUACUACCGCAUACUGAAGGUGGGGAUUGCGUCUGAUUAGCUAGUUGGAGGGGUAACGGCCACCCAAGGCGAUGAUCAGUAGCCGGUCUGAGAGGAGGAACGGCCACAGUGGGACUGAGACACGUCCCAGACUCCGACGGGAGGCAGCAGUGGGGAAUCUGCCGAAAUGGACGAAAGUCUGACGGAGCAACGCCGCGGGAGUGAUGACGGCCUUCGGGUUGUAAAGCUCUGUUAAUCGGGACGCGGUACCGGAAUAGAAAGCCACGGCUAACUACGUGCCAGCAGCCGCGGUAAUUC
RNAcentral lists this ribosomal RNA (408 nucleotides) under uncultured bacterium. RNAcentral describes it as "partial 16S ribosomal RNA". It matches the Rfam family "Bacterial small subunit ribosomal RNA", at positions 28 to 526 of the family's 1533-position model. The record is from RNAcentral.